UUACUAUAAUUUCCUUUCUAAAUUUAAUUUCAAAUUCUGUUACACCCAUCACUUUUAUAGAAUUAUAAUCUUUCUCAAUGUUCAAUUUUUUUCAGAAAUCGAUCAUCCAAAUGUUUCAUCGACCAUUGAUUAGCGAUAAACGAAACUUGUAAGUCAGAUGCAUUGUCGAAAAUUGUCACGCGUGAGAGGAUUGGUUAGAAACUCGUUAAAUUCGGCAACGUAAGUCUCCUGACAAUUCCCCUUUCUCCCAUUCCCUUGAUGCGCAAUUAGAGGCACGUUAAUUGCGCUGGAACGAAUCGUAUCGUUCGUUCUACAAUUGGCAGAAAGAUAUUGGUGGAAAUUUUUGCGAAAUUUACGAGAUACAAAUUGGCCAAUCGAAGAUUAUGCAACGAGGAAUUUAUCGAUAUUAGCUUCGAUUAUUUUGCGAUCGAUUUUCUAGGGGAAAUUCUUCGAGGUUUCUAUCAUGUGAACUAUGUUACAGGUUAUUUAUUGUAGGAAUUUAAUUAAGCUUGUGUUAUUGAUUGACUAUCGCUUGUGGCAACAUUGCGGAAUUUCGAGAUGGAUCCUCUUGCCACGAUACAUGCGUUAUGUAAAUAAUGGUAGAAGUGGAAGUGGGGCAGAGGAAAGAAUUUUAUUAAGUUAAAUAGAAAAAUGAUCUUCCAUCUUGUUUUUCCAUUAAAAGACGUAUAAAUUGAAAGUGAAGUAUCCCAAAUGAAACUUCUAACAAAAAUAAAAGAAAAUACAAUAAAGAUUGUAGAAAAUUAUUGAUACAUCACGUAUAUAAUCUUACAUAUUUCUGGAAGAGGAUGGUCAGUGAUAUUGAAUCGACGAAGGAGAAUCCGCGACUUAUCGCGACUCAAAGGGAUUCCAGACCGCUUUCGGAAGAGUGUCUCGCAGCUGUUCGUUAUCCAGGAGUGUAGCAACCAUUGAAGAUGUGCGCUUUGCAUUCCCUGGAAUUCCAGACAGUCCUUUGAAUCGAGAUCAUCCGCAUGAACUCUCUUCUCGCUCCAUUUCUUCGUUUAUUUAUCCGAUAUAUCCUCGAUCAAUGUCCAGAAUUUCGUUGCACUUGGAUCGUGAAAAAAAACUAUUUCGUUUAGCUUGAAUUGAAUGGAGAAAGAAUGCAAUCUCUUCUUCUUUCGCCUUUGGCGAGGAUAUUUUUUAAUGAAACUUGUUUGAAGUAUUGAUCGGAUAUUGAAUGGAAAAAGUGACUAUCUUUUGAUUAUUGAAAGGAAUGAUUAAAUUUUAGAACGGCUUUGAAAUAUUAUUUGAAUAUUCCU
Molecule: long non-coding RNA, 1277 nt
Organism: Apis dorsata (giant honeybee)
Lineage: Eukaryota; Metazoa; Arthropoda; Insecta; Hymenoptera; Apidae
Exons: 3
Source: RefSeq, a predicted model, not a curated record